RNAcentral lists this ribosomal RNA (117 nucleotides) under Danio rerio (zebrafish). The record is from RNAcentral. Lineage: Eukaryota; Metazoa; Chordata; Actinopteri; Cypriniformes; Danionidae.
GUUCACAGCCAUAUCACCCUGCAGCCCGAGACCGGUUACUCACUGAAGCUAAGCAGGGCUGAGCCUGGUCAGUGUCUGGAUGGGAGACCACUAGGGAACACUAGGUUGCUGUUGGAA